GCCGGGUCUGGAGAAAAGCUGAACUCAGACUCGAAUUGUCAGUGCAUUUCCCCACCCGCGUCCCCCAGUCGGCGUUCUUAAAGAAAUCACACCCUGAAAACAGUAGCAAAGGUUGCUCACGCUGCUUUCUGGCGAACCAACCCGCUGAACGAACUGCGCUGGGGAAGGAAAACGACGUGAACAGAUGCAAAGGUCUCAGAACUACAAAUUAAGCAAACUGAAAACCUCAACAAGAUAAAUGCUUUGGGGAGAACUUGCAGAGGAUGAAGAAAGACCUAGAGGCGUACAAAAACAAUGUAAUAACUGCCAUGGUCUCAAGAAGAUUCUACCAAUUCUGUUUCCUAAUAUGUUAAACAAUGAUAAACUUACACGCCUGCAGUAUGUAAAUUUACAGGCCUAUAUCCCAAAACAUCUUUAA
Molecule: long non-coding RNA, 418 nt
Organism: Rhinolophus ferrumequinum (greater horseshoe bat)
Lineage: Eukaryota; Metazoa; Chordata; Mammalia; Chiroptera; Rhinolophidae
Exons: 3
Source: RefSeq, a predicted model, not a curated record